CGCGUAAGUGAUCUAUCCCUGUAUCUGGAAUAACUAUGGGAAACUGUAGCUAAUACCGGAUACGUUCAUGUGAUUGCGAUUAUGUGAAGAAAGAUGGCCUCUGACAUAAGCUAUCGUACAGGGAGGAGCUUGCGUACCAUUAGCUAGUUGGCAGGGUAAAGGCCUACCAAGGCGACGAUGGUUAGCGGGUCUGAGAGGAUGAUCCGCCACACUGGAACUGAAACACGGACCAGACUCCUACGGGAGGCAGCAGUGAGGAAUAUUGCGCAAUGGGGGCAACCCUGACGCAGCGACGCCGCGUGGAUGAUGAAGGCCUUCGGGUCGUAAAAUCCUGUCGGAUGGAAAGAAGUGUGAUGUGGUUAAUACCCAUGUCAUUUGACGGUACCAUCAGAGGAAGCACCGGCUAACUCCGUG
This 414-nucleotide ribosomal RNA is filed under the name uncultured delta proteobacterium. Its description in RNAcentral is "bacterial SSU rRNA". It matches the Rfam family "Bacterial small subunit ribosomal RNA", at positions 114 to 507 of the family's 1533-position model. The record is from RNAcentral. Lineage: Bacteria; Deltaproteobacteria.